AUACGUACUGCGCAAACGUUAUUCUGAAUCACUGGGCUUAAAGGGUGCGUAGGCGGGUUUGAAGGUCUGAUGUGAAAGCCCACGGCUCAACCGUGGAAUUGCGUUGGAAACCACAAGCCUUGAGGGAGUCAGAGGUGAGCGGAACUAAUGGUGGAGCGGUGAAAUGCGUUGAUAUCAUUAGGAACACCGGUGGCGAAAGCGGCUCACUGGGACUCUUCUGACGCUGAGGCACGAAAGCUAGGGGAGCGAACGGGAUUAGAUACCCCAGUAGUCC
This 274-nucleotide ribosomal RNA is filed under the name uncultured bacterium. RNAcentral describes it as "partial 16S ribosomal RNA". It matches the Rfam family "Bacterial small subunit ribosomal RNA", at positions 523 to 796 of the family's 1533-position model. The record is from RNAcentral.